GUUGACCUCGGAUCAGGUAGGACUACCCGCUGAACUU
This 37-nucleotide ribosomal RNA is filed under the name Colletotrichum arboricola. Its description in RNAcentral is "partial 28S ribosomal RNA". Lineage: Eukaryota; Fungi; Ascomycota; Sordariomycetes; Glomerellales; Glomerellaceae. The record is from RNAcentral.